Molecule: ribosomal RNA, 485 nt
Filed under: uncultured bacterium
Lineage: Bacteria
Description: partial 16S ribosomal RNA
Rfam family: Bacterial small subunit ribosomal RNA
Source: RNAcentral
ACUCAAAUGAAUUGACGGGGACCCGCACAAGCGGUGGAGCGUGUUGUUUAAUUCGAUGGUAAACGAAGAACCUUACCCAGGUUUGACAUCCUUGGAAUUUUGCCGAAAGGCGAAAGUGCUUUAUUGAACCAAGUGACAGGUGUUGCAUGGCCGUCGUCAGCUCGUGUCGUGAGAUGUUUGGUUAAGUCCAUCAACGAGCGCAACCCUUGUGAUUAGUUGUAUUUUUCUAAUCAGACUGCCCUGGUAACAGGGAGGAAGGGGGGGAUGAUGUCAGGUCAGUAUUACCCUUACAUCUGGGGCUACAAACACGCUACAAUGGCCGGUACAAAGGGCUGCCAAAGCGCAAGCUGGAGCAAAUCCCAUCAAAGCCGGUCUCAGUUCGGAUAGCAGGCUGAAACUCGCCUGCUUGAAGCUGGAAUCGCUAGUAACGGUAGGUCAGCUAUACUACCGUGAAUACGUUCCCGGGUCUUGCACACACCGCCCGU